AGAGACAGCAGUAGCCGCGGGAAUACGGAGGGUGUAAGCGUUAAUCGGAAUUACUGGGUGUAAAGCGCACGCAGGCGGUUUGUUAAGUCAGGUGUGAAAUCCCCGAGCUUAACUUGGGAACUGCAUUUGAAACUGGCAAGCUAGAGUCUUGUAGAGGGGGGUAGAAUUCCAGGUGUAGCGGUGAAAUGCGUAGAGAUCUGGAGGAAUACCGGUGGCGAAGGCGGCCCCUGGACAAAGACUGACGCUCAGGUGCGAAAGCGUGGGGAGCAAACAGGAUUAGAUACCCCGGUAGUCCCUGUCUCUUAUACA
Molecule: ribosomal RNA, 309 nt
Filed under: uncultured bacterium
Lineage: Bacteria
Description: partial 16S ribosomal RNA
Rfam family: Bacterial small subunit ribosomal RNA
Source: RNAcentral